Solanum lycopersicum (tomato) is the source of this 566-nucleotide non-coding RNA. The record is from RefSeq and is a predicted model, not a curated record. NCBI's taxonomy places the organism in Eukaryota, Viridiplantae, Streptophyta, Magnoliopsida, Solanales, Solanaceae.
AGAAGAAAGAGGACGUGUAAAAGGACAAAUAAUAUGCACUUUGUCUCCUCUUCUCCAUUUCAUUUUUACUCUUUUUAAAUCCCCCCAUUAAUGUGGUUCUCUAACUUGAACCGGGUUUUAAUCAAAUGAACCCAUCAUUGCCAAUGAUGGCUUGGGCUAACUCAAAUGAAACAACUCAAAUUCAUCCAAAAUCUCAUCAUCUUAUUCACUUGUCAUUCUAUUGGGGAAGAAACACUUGUUUUCUUUUCCCAAAUUGGCCUGGAAAUAGCAAAGGAAUAUUUUAGGUUUUUCUUGGUGGCUGUUGUUGGUCAUGCAGCAGGGAGAUUUGUUUGUAAGGUUUAUCAAUUUCAUACUGAUCAAGAAAUGAGCAUUGAAUUACCAUCUGAGUUGGUAAUUAAAGUGUGAUGGAUCGCUGGUGGAGUCGGAACUUUCAUUUAGAAGUUUGAGAAAAUUUCACGUAUGCAAUGUAAACAUUAAAAUAUUUUUACCCUUUCUGUAAUGUUUCGUAAAUGAAAUUUUGAUGAACCUGAAGUUCAGUUAUAAAAAAUUAAUUUUUUCGCGUAUAA